UGUAAUUUAUUUUAAUUGUAACUGUUGGUCCGUUAUGGACCAUGCAUUUCAUCAAAUAGAAGCAAAGAAGAGAAACGAAGCAGAGGAGUAAACCCCAUUAAAUGGGGGUUGCAUUGAUGUAGUUCCACGGUAAUUUAGCAAAAAUUAGCAAUAAUUUAGUUGCUCACAAUUCUAUGGCCGAGCCAAAGGGGUCAGCGUCCAGGUCCCCUCAUCAUCCACAGGCUUAGCGUCGGGGCCGUCCUCAUUCAUUGCAGCCUCGGCGAAGGCGGAGUCCAGAUCUCCUGUGUUUCAGACCGCCAGCAAUGAUGGCAAUCGCAGAGGCCAAGGGAGCGAGCGCUCUCAGGAACGCCUUCGGGGGCAUCUUGGGUGUAUUCAUUCUCCUCCUUAUCGGGAUUUUCGCCUUCUCGAUUCGCCUCUUUUCCGUUAUCAAGUAUGAGAGCGUGAUUCACGAGUUUGAUCCAUACUUCAAUUAUAGAGUCACUCAGUAUCUUACAAAUAAUGGAAUUUAUGACUUCUGGAACUGGUUUGAUGAUCGAACCUGGUAUCCUCUUGGUCGUGCCAUCGGUGGAACUGUUUAUCCUGGCUUGACAUUAACAGCAGGUUCUAUGUGGUGGCUACUGAAUUCCUUGAAUAUUCCUCUAUCAGUGGAGACUGUCUGUGUAUUCACUGCUCCAAUUUUCUCUGCUAAUGCAGCUUGGGCUACAUACCUUCUGACAAAGGAAGUUAAGGGCACUGGAGCUGGAUUGACUGCAGCAGCCCUAUUAGCAAUGGUGCCUUCCUAUAUUUCACGUUCUGUGGCUGGCAGCUAUGACAAUGAAGCUGUAGCAAUAUUUGCUCUAAUAUUGACAUUUUAUUUUUAUGUAAAGACACUGAAUUCAGGAUCACUCUUCUAUGCUACCCUAAAUGCUUUAUCAUACUUCUACAUGGUGUGUUCUUGGGGAGGCUACACAUUCAUCAUUAACCUUAUUCCCAUGCAUGUUCUGUUGUGUAUUGUAACUGGUCGCUACUCUUCACGAUUGUACAUUGCUUAUGCUCCUCUGGUUGUCUUGGGAACUCUUCUAGCUUCUUUGGUUCCCGUGGUUGGUUUUAAUACAGUGAUGACGUCAGAGCAUUUUUCGUCAUUUCUGGUUUUUGUAAUCAUUCACAUGGUUGCCCUUGUUUAUUAUAUCAAAGGGAUUCUAUCUCCAAAGAUGUUCAAAGUGGCUAUGACACUUGCUGUGACAAUUGGCUUGACUGUUUGUUGUGCGGUUAUCGCCAUAUUCAUAGCAUCGGUGGCUUCCAGCCCCACAAAAGGAUGGAGCGGGCGUAGUUUGAGUCUUCUUGAUCCAACAUAUGCGAGCAAGUACAUACCAAUCAUUGCUAGUGUUAGUGAACAUCAGCCACCAACGUGGCCUUUAUAUUUUGUGGACAUAAAUGUUUUGGCAUUCUUGGUUCCAGCUGGUAUUAUAGCAUGCUUUUCACCUUUAUCUGAUGCCAGCUCAUUUAUGAUCCUUUACUUAGCAAUAUCAGCAUAUUUUUCUGGAGUAAUGGUGCGUCUUAUGCUUGUUUUGGCUCCAGCUGCAUGCGUCAUGUCCGGAAUUGCUCUUUCUGAAGCCUUCGAUGUUUUCACACGUUCAAUCAAGUUUCAGGCAGGGGACAUUAAUUCUGAGAGUUCUAUAGCUCAAAAUGAUGUAUCGAAUGUUGAUAGCAAUGCAACAACUGAUAAAUCUGAAACUGUAUCAAAAGAACCAUCAAGGAAGAACCAUGAGAAGGAAAAGGAACAAGAAAUUGUGAAAAAUGUUACUAGUAAGUCCCAAAAUGGAAAAAAGCUUCUGGUGUUGCCCCAGGAAGUGUCUGCAGUUGUCAUUCUUCUUCUGAUCGCACUUGGUGGCUUUUAUGUGGGCCAUUGUGUAUGGACAACAGCAACAGCUUACUCUGCCCCUGCAAUUGUUCUAAAAUCUUAUACCCCUGAUGGGUUGCGUGUGUUUGAUGAUUUUCGUGAAGCCUAUGCAUGGCUACAGCACAAUACUGAUGUGGAUGAUAAGGUGGCAUCUUGGUGGGAUUAUGGUUACCAAAUAACUGCUAUGGCUAAUCGUACUGUCAUAGUCGACAAUAAUACCUGGAAUAACACCCAUAUUGCAACCGUUGGUGCUGCCGUGUCAUCCCCAGAGAAAGCAGCUUGGGAGAUUUUUAACUCAUUGGAUGUCAAAUAUGUUUUGGUUGUUUUUGGAGGUCUUGUUGGCUACCCAAGUGAUGAUAUUGAUAAGUUCAUAUGGAUGGUUCGCAUCGCAGGUGGUGUAUUUCCGCACAUCAGGGAACAGGAUUAUCUUAGGGAUGGACGGUACCAUAUUGAUGCUCAUGCAACUCCAACGAUGCUGAAUUGCCUCAUGUACAAGCUCUCUUAUUACAGGUUUGUGGAGACAGAGGCAGAAGGGUUUGAUAAAGUUAGGAGGACAGAAAUAGGAAACAAAAAGUUUGAGCUAACCCAUUUUGAGGAGGCAUUCACCACAGAACAUUGGAUGGUCCGAAUUUAUAAGUUGAAACUUCCAAAGAACAGGAUCCAAGGAAAGUUGAAGAAUAAAUCAAGUUCUGAAACUUAUUCGAGCAAUCAAACAAGGGCUAGAAAUACAAGAAGGAACCCAUGGCAGUGAAUCGAUUCCAAGAUUAACGUCUAAUCAGUUUGAAGAAUAAAAACUGGUGUUUUCGCCAUGCCAAGGAUUCCUUGGACAUGCUUUGUGUGGAAAGGCUUAAGGAAGCUGAUAACUGAGGAGGUUGUCGAAGGAAAAGCUGCUGGUGUCUCAAGUUGUAAAAGUUCAUGCAACUCCAACAAUGCUGAAUGCCAUCAUGAAGAAGCUCUCCUAUCACAUGUUUGUGAAUCGUUCUGUUGGUUUCCCACUUGAUUUACAGUUGCAGCAACAAUGUUGCUUCUGAUUUUAGUUUCUUAUUUCUAGACUUGUGGAGACAGUGGACCAGGGUUUGAUCAAGUAAGGAGGACAGAAACAGGAAAACAAAAAUUCAAGCUCUCCUAUUACAUGUUUUGACAACUGCUGCACCAAAAGUUGUCUUCCAUUUUCUCUUAUUUCUAACCAAAUUUCGAAAUCUGACUGAAGCAUACUGUCUUCCAGUUCCGUUGGCUUUUAGUUUGUCAUUGUCAGAAUAUGCCUGGAUCAGCAAGCUAUGCAUUGGCUUCUUCACAUGCCUAAUUUUUUCAUGGCUGCCGGAUAAAUUUUACUCUGGUGCUUGAUUCAGGUAUUCACUACGCAUCAUUGGAUGAUUUGUAUUUAUAAGUUGAAACCUCCAAAGAACAGGAUCUGGGGAAAGUUGAAGAAGACUAAAUCAAGUUCUAAAACUUCUAGAAGCAUUCAAAGAAGGGCUGGAAAUGCAAGAAAGAACCCAUGGCACUGAACUGAUUCUAAGAUGAACAUCUUAUCGGUUUAGGGAUUCUGCUGUGUGCAUGACCCUCGAGAGGAGGGAAAGGGAUGAGGCGGCUUUGAUUGUUUGCAGGCACAAAAAAGUAGAUAUUUGAUGAAGGAAUUUGCAGUGUCCUUUCAUAUUGCAUACUUUUUCCUUUUUUAUUUGCAUUGCUAUCAAAGGAUCACGGACAAAUUUUUGGCUGGCGUAUCGUGGAAAUUGGAGCAGUGCAUUAUUUUUUCUAUGCAAUCGUGAAGUUGAUUU
This is a non-coding RNA of Elaeis guineensis (African oil palm), 3654 nucleotides long. NCBI's taxonomy places the organism in Eukaryota, Viridiplantae, Streptophyta, Magnoliopsida, Arecales, Arecaceae. The record is from RefSeq and is a predicted model, not a curated record.